UGGCUCACACUGCCUUGCUCAGUAGUGAUUGUCAUUAGCUAUGAAGCACAGAAAGUGUAGUUCCUGGUUGUCUGUGAACAAUGAAGCAUUUCAGAUCAACGUGGGAGGAGGAAUAACAUGGGAUUGAUAGCAAAUCGGCAUUCAUUCAUUCAUUGGCUCUCGAAUAUUUGAAAAAAGAAUGGUUAUCCCGAAGACCCAGCCUACACACCUGGACAAUAGGUUGGGAGCAGUGAUGACCCAGUUCAAGAUGAAAUUGAAUCAAUCCCACUUCGCUGUCCCAGAUAUUGUUGGAGUUUUGUUUUCCCCUCACCCUGAGUUGGGAAAGUUGCCUGAAUGAUUUGUGCCUGAGCGCUCUUAUCUAGAGUGGAACGUAAAGUUGUGACCAUUUUCACUGGGAAAAUAGGUGAUUUGUCUGGAGGAGAGUAUCCCAAGUUCCAGACUCGAAUGCUAUGUGCCCUUUUAUGUUACCUUCUUCACCAUGGGGGAACCCCCAGUAAUAAAAAGUCUCCCAUUCCUCUCCUUCAA
Molecule: long non-coding RNA, 525 nt
Organism: Pan troglodytes (chimpanzee)
Lineage: Eukaryota; Metazoa; Chordata; Mammalia; Primates; Hominidae
Exons: 3
Source: RefSeq, a predicted model, not a curated record